CCAUAGUCAAGAGGGAAACAGCCCAGACCGCCAGCUAAGGUCCCAAAAUUAACGCUAAGUGAUAAAGGAGGUGGGAUUGCCCAGACAACCAGGAGGUUUGCCUAGAAGCAGCCAUCCUCAAAGGAGUGCGUAAUAGCUCACUGGUCGAGCGAUCCUGCGCCGAAAAUGAACGGGGCUAAGCGUUAUACCGAAGCUGCGGAUAAAUUUAUUUAUGGUAGGGGAGCGUUCUAUGUAGGGUGAAGCGUUAGCGUAAGCGGACGUGGACAGCAUAGAAGUGAGAAUGUCGGCUUGAGUAGCGAAAACAUGGGUGAGAAUCCCAUGCCCCGAAACCCUAAGGGUUCCUCCGGCAGGCUCGUCCGCGGAGGGUUAGUCUGGACCUAAGGCGAGGCCGAAAGGCGUAGUCGAUGGAUAACAGGUCAAUAUUCCUGUACCAGAUGUGUUUUGAGAAGGGGGACGGAGAAGGCUAACCAGGCCAGAUGUUGGUUACUGGUUCAAGCGUUCGAGGCUUUGAGAGAUGGAGAAAACAUCUUGAGCUAAGGCGUGAGUACGAGCUGCUACGGCAGCGAAGUUGGUGAUGUCAUGCUUCCAAGAAAAGCCCUAUACUCGUUAAGACACAAAUGCCAGUACCCGAAACCGACACAGGUGGGGUGGUAGAGAAUACCGAGGGGCGCGAGAUAACUCUCUCUAAGGAACUCGGCAAAAUGGCCCCGUAACUUCGGGAGAAGGGGUGCCAGCGAGAGCUGGUCGCAGUGAAGAGGCGCAAGCGACUGUUUACCAAAAACACAGGUCUCCGCUAAGUCGCAAGACGAUGUAUGGGGGCUGACACCUGCCCAGUGCCGGAAGGUUAAGGAAGCUGGUUAGCUUUAUGUGAAGCUGGCGACUGAAGCCCCGGUGAACGGCGGCCGUAACUAUAACGGUCCUAAGGUAGCGAAAUUCCUUGUCGGGUAAGUUCCGACCCGCACGAAAGGUGUAACGAUUUGCGCGCUGUCUCGGAGAGAGGCUCGGCGAAAUAGAAUUGUCUGUGAAGAUGCGGACUACAUACACCCGGACAGAAAGACCCUAUGAAGCUUUACUGUAGUUUGAUAUUGUGCUCGGGCUCUGAAUGCGCAGAAUAGGUGGGAGACGUUGAAAUAGUGCUUGUGGGUACUAUUGAGUCAUCGGUGAGAUACCACUCUUUUAGAGCUAGGGUUCUAACGCUUACCCGUUAUCCGGGAAGCGGACAGUAUCUGAUGGGCAGUUUGACUGGGGCGGUCGCCUCCUAAAAGGUAACGGAGGCGCACAAAGGUUCCCUCAGGCUGGUUGGAAAUCAGUCGUUGAGUGCAAAAGCAGAAGGGAGCUUGACUGUGAGACCUACAAGUCGAACAGGGACGAAAGUCGGUUUUAGUGAUCCGACGGUUCUGCGUGGAAGGGCCGUCGCUCAACGGAUAAAAGUUACUCUAGGGAUAACAGGCUGAUCUCCCCCAAGAGUUCACAUCGACGGGGAGGUUUGGCACCUCGAUGUCGGCUCAUCGCAACCUGGGGCUGAAGUCGGUCCCAAGGGUUGGGCUGUUCGCCCAUUAAAGCGGUACGCGAGCUGGGUUCAGAACGUCGUGAGACAGUUCGGUCCAUAUCCGGUGUAUGCGCAGGAAUAUUGAGAGGAUUUCUCCCUAGUACGAGAGGACCGGGAGGAACGCACCUCUGGUGUGCCAGUUAUCGUGCCAACGGUAAACGCUGGGUAGCCAUGUGCGGAGUGGAUAACCGCUGAAAGCAUCUAAGUGGGAAGCCCACCUCAAGAUGAGUAUUGCCAUGGCUUAAGCCAGUAAGGUCACGGGAAGAACACCCGUUGAUAGGCUCUACGUGGAAGCUUGGUAACAAGUGCAGCGGAGGAGUACUAAUAGACCGAGGGCUUGACCAA
RNAcentral lists this ribosomal RNA (1894 nucleotides) under Prochlorococcus sp. scB241_529J16. Its description in RNAcentral is "bacterial LSU rRNA". It matches the Rfam family "Bacterial large subunit ribosomal RNA", at positions 1005 to 2925 of the family's 2925-position model. Lineage: Bacteria; Bacillati; Cyanobacteriota; Cyanophyceae; Synechococcales; Prochlorococcaceae. The record is from RNAcentral.